UGAACGCUGGCGGCAGGCCUAACACAUGCAAGUCGAGCGGAUGAAGGGAGCUUGCUCCUGGAUUCAGCGGCGGACGGGUGAGUAAUGCCUAGGAAUCUGCCUGGUAGUGGGGGAUAACGUCCGGAAACGGGCGCUAAUACCGCAUACGUCCUGAGGGAGAAAGUGGGGGAUCUUCGGACCUCACGCUAUCAGAUGAGCCUAGGUCGGAUUAGCUAGUUGGUGGGGUAAAGGCCUACCAAGGCGACGAUCCGUAACUGGUCUGAGAGGAUGAUCAGACACACUGGAACUGAGACACGGUCCAGACUCCUACGGGAGGCAGCAGUGGGGAAUAUUGGACAAUGGGCGAAAGCCUGAUCCAGCCAUGCCGCGUGUGUGAAGAAGGUCUUCGGAUUGUAAAGCACUUUAAGUUGGGAGGAAGGGCAGUAAGUUAAUACCUUGCUGUUUUGACGUUACCAACAGAAUAAGCACCGGCUAACUUCGUG
This 482-nucleotide ribosomal RNA is filed under the name uncultured bacterium. RNAcentral's name for it is "partial 16S ribosomal RNA". It matches the Rfam family "Bacterial small subunit ribosomal RNA", at positions 30 to 507 of the family's 1533-position model. The record is from RNAcentral.